UAACCACAUAUUGAGAAUCAGAAA
Molecule: unclassified non-coding RNA, 24 nt
Filed under: Mus musculus (house mouse)
Lineage: Eukaryota; Metazoa; Chordata; Mammalia; Rodentia; Muridae
Description: oocyte_clustered_small_RNA4740
Source: RNAcentral